This 66-nucleotide transfer RNA is filed under the name Auritidibacter ignavus. Its description in RNAcentral is "tRNA-OTHER". It matches the Rfam family "tRNA". From Rfam's summary of the family: Transfer RNA (tRNA) molecules are approximately 80 nucleotides in length. Lineage: Bacteria; Bacillati; Actinomycetota; Actinomycetes; Micrococcales; Micrococcaceae. The record is from RNAcentral.
CGGACUGUGGCGCAGCUUGGUAGCGCACUACACUAGGGGUCGCAGGUUCAAAUCCUGUCAGUCCGA